Ipomoea nil (Japanese morning glory) is the source of this 2054-nucleotide long non-coding RNA. RefSeq lists it as uncharacterized. The transcript has 8 exons. The record is from RefSeq and is a predicted model, not a curated record. Lineage: Eukaryota; Viridiplantae; Streptophyta; Magnoliopsida; Solanales; Convolvulaceae.
UCUCGCCCAAAAAUAACUCUUUAACCUUUAGUAAAAAAAAAAAUCUACCUAAGUAAAAAAAAAAAACCCUUGGACUAGAUCUGAAAAUUAACUCGGUCGCCAUCAUCGCGCCUCCGGCUCUCGCCGCCUCCGUCGUCCGUCCGGCUCUCGCCGCCUCCGUCGUCCGUCCGGCUCUCGCCGCCUCUAUCUCGCUGCCUCCGUCCUCUCGCCUCCCUUAGCAGACAGGUGCGACGGUCCACAGAUCCACGACGAACACAGCCUCCAAAUCUCCAAUGGAACACAGCCUCGCCGCCUCGCCUACUGCCCUGCUCCGCCAUCCGUAGCUCCUCGACGGACCACAGAUCCACGACGAAGGGAGUUCAGGAAAAAAGAAAGCUAUUAUUGCAGGUGUAGUCGGUGGUGUGGGAAUCAUAUUGGUAUUAGCAGCCAUUUUCCUUUAUCGAAGAUCAAAAAAGCCAAAUGCAGCAAGAAGAGGCAAUAUUCUGGGGGCAACUCAGUUGAGGGUCCAGAGAACUACAGAUAUAAAGAUUUGAAAGCCGCAACCAAAGGCUUCAGUGAAGAAAAUAAACUCGGCCAAGGAGGUUUUGGUGAUGUAUACAAGGGAACACUAAAGAACGGGGAUGUGGUUGCGGUGAAGAAACUAGCAAUGAUUUCCAGUAGAGCAAAGGCAGUCUCAUCGCACAGGCACACCACUCCACCAACCAGUUAACCACGAGCCUCCGGUAAAAAAAAGGCUUCCAGCUGCUUAGCCUUCUGCCAUCGUGAAAUCCGUUCCGGUUGCUGCAAAAAAGGCUUCUCGCUGUUCAGUUGCGGCACUAGAGCUUUGUUGCCUUAGCCAACGCACUCCUCUUCCCGUCCUUCCCGUCAAAGUCGCUGGCCGGCAUCUCCAUCGCUAUCUCCAUUUCUUCUGGGCUACAGGAAGAUCUGCACCACGCCUUGCUCCUCACCCUGCACCAGCACCACCUCUGGUCAGUACGCCACCGUCGAGAUGCCUAAGCCGUUGCUCAUCAACGUAACCAAAGUCGCCUCUUCCUGUCUCCACCACAGUCGAGACAGAGGACUCUUCUGUAAUUCCUAAUUCCAUUUAUCAAAAUCUCAUAAUUUCAUUAAGCCCUAAAUCCCUAUGUUUUUCUUACUUUGAAAUUUUAUUAAUCUCUGUUGGAAUGCCUAGUUCAGGAGGUUACUCAUAUAGUGGUAAUUAUGGUAUGCCAUCUGCAUAUCCCGAACAGCUACCACAGAUGGUGGUAAUUAUGGUAUCACAUUGUUGGCAUUGCCUGAUUGAUGCACUUUCUUACCUUGCUUGGUAGUAAAUGACUGGCUUCAAGAGCAUGGAAUUGUAUGCAUUUUGUACUCAUACUGCAAUGCAAUAAAUAAUAUUGGUAUACAUAGUCCUCCUUUAUGGCUCAAGUGAACUAUUUCAUUAUUUUCUACAGAAAUUUCUCAUUCUUUAUGAUCUUUUUUGUGUGCUUGCUUGCUUGCAUGGUAUUAUGUUAGCUAUAGAAUUAUAAGUGUGUAAUUGUUUCUCUGUAAGUGCUGCUCUAAAGAGUAAAGGAAUAAACCAGUUUGCUCAUGUUAACUGUGGAAACUGCCGUACAAUGUUGAUGUAUCCGUUUGGAGCUCCCUCUGUUAAGUGUGUUGUGUGUCACUUCAUCACUAAUGUUAAUAAUAUUUAAGGGGAUCUGAGAGCUCAACCUUGACCCAACCCUGCAUCUUGCCACCCAUUCCUCCUUUGAAAAAGUAAAGACAAGCAAGAAAAAGGAAGGACGCUGCAUUGCAGAUUUGCAGGUAUACUCAUCAUUUACACUUGAUCAAAGUCAUUGAAGUAGAAGGCUGUGGAUGUUGCAUUGACCAAAGCCAUUGAAGCAGUGCCGGAUUUGAAGGCUUAUUUGGGUGCAGGGAGCAUACUUAAGUAGUAUUGAUUAAGUAGUAUAUAUUUUCAUGACUUUUGUUUGGGGUAUGAUAAUAGUACGUACAUUUUUGGAAGUACUAUGGACAUGACCAUAAUUUUUCUUGUAAAUAAUUUUGAUGUUUGAAUAUAUUUUCAAUUUGAAAUU